This 436-nucleotide ribosomal RNA is filed under the name uncultured bacterium. Its description in RNAcentral is "partial 16S ribosomal RNA". It matches the Rfam family "Bacterial small subunit ribosomal RNA", at positions 29 to 507 of the family's 1533-position model. The record is from RNAcentral.
AACGAACGCUGGCGGCAUGCCUAACACAUGCAAGUCGAACGAGAUCCUUCGGGGUCUAGUGGCGCACGGGUGCGUAACGCGUGGGAAUCUGCCCUUAGGUUCGGAAUAACAGUUAGAAAUGACUGCUAAUACCGGAUGAUGACGUUAAGUCCAAAGAUUUAUCGCCUGAGGAUGAGCCCGCGUAGGAUUAGCUAGUUGGUGUGGUAAAGGCGCACCAAGGCGACGAUCCUUAGCUGGUCUGAGAGGAUGAUCAGCCACACUUGGACUGAGACACGGCCCAGACUCCUACGGGAGGCAGCAGUGGGGAAUAUUGGACAAUGGGCGCAAGCUUGAUCCAGCAAUGCCGCGUGAGUGAUGAAGGCCUUAGGGUUGUAAAGCUCUUUUACCCGAGAUGAUAAUGACAGUAUCGGGAGAAUAAGCCCCGGCUAACUCCGUG